CUUUUGGCGAGUAGAGUGGCGCACGGGUUGAGUAACGCGUGGGUAAUCGUGCCUUCGAACCGGGGAUAACACUUCGAAAGGGGUGCAUAAUACCGCGAUGACAUCCACGUGUCUUCGGGCGUCUGGAUCAAAGAUGGCCUCUCCAUGGAAGCUGUUGUUCGAAGAUGAGCCCGCGUCCCAUUAGCUUGUUGGUGGGGUAAAGGCCCACCAAGGCGACGAUGGGUAGCUGGUCUGAGAGGAUGAUCAGCCACACUGGCACUGACACACGGGCCAGACUCCUACGGGAGGCAGCAGUGAGGAAUUUUGCGCAAUGGGGGUAACCCUGACGCAGCAACGCCGCGUGAGUGAAGAAGGCCUUCGGGUCGUAAAGCUCUGUCGAGUGGGAAGAACCCGCAUCAGGUGACCAGGCUGAUGCGCUGACGGUACCACUGGAGGAAGCACCGGCUAACUCCGUGCCAGCAGCCGCGGUAAUACGGAGGGUGCAAGCGUUAUUCGGAAUUACUGGGCGUAAAGGGCGCGCAGGCGGCCUGGUAAGUCAGUAGUGAAAGCCCGGGGCUCAACCCCGGAAGUGCUGCUGAAACUGUUGGGCUUGAGUAUGGCAGAGGGAAGCGGAAUUCCUGGUGUAGCGGUGAAAUGCGUAGAUAUCAGGAGGAACGCCGGUGGCGAAGGCGGCUUCCUGGACCAAUACUGACGCUGAGGCGCGAAGGCGUGGGUAGCAAACAGGAUUAGAUACCCUGGUAGUCCACGCAGUAAACGGUGAUCACUAGGUGUUCCGGGUAUUGAUACUUGCAGUGCCGGAGCUAACGCAUUAAGUGAUCCGCCUGGGGAGUACGGCCGCAAGGUUAAAACUCAAAGGAAUUGACGGGGGCCCGCACAAGCGGUGGAGCAUGUGGUUUAAUUGGACGCAACGCGAAGAACCUUACCUGGGUUUGACAUCUGGGGGAUCCCAUGGAAACAUGGGGGUGCCCUUCGGGGAGCCCCAAGACAGGUGCUGCAUGGCAGUCGUCAGCUCGUGUCGUGAGAUGUUGGGUUAAGUCCCGCAACGAGCGCAACCCCUGUCUUCAGUUACCAGCGAUUCGAUCGGGGACUCUGAAGAUACUGCCCCGGUUAACGGGGAGGAAGGUGGGGAUGACGUCAAGUCCUCAUGGCCUUUAUGCCCAGGGCUACACACGUGCUACAAUGGGCGGUACAGAGGGUAGCGAGACCGCGAGGUGGAGCCAAUCCCAAAAAGCCGUCCUCAGUUCGGACUGGAGUCUGCAACUCGACUCCAUGAAGUUGGAAUCGCUAGUAAUCGCGGAUCAGCAUGCCGCGGUGAUACGUUCCCGGGCAUUGUACACACCGCCCGUCACACCAUGAGAGUUGGCUAUACCCGAAGUCGCCGGC
Molecule: ribosomal RNA, 1383 nt
Filed under: uncultured organism
Description: bacterial SSU rRNA
Rfam family: Bacterial small subunit ribosomal RNA
Source: RNAcentral